UUUUCUUUGCAUAGUCACUCUUAUAUAAGCUGCUAGGUUGUUUCCUCACAAUUCAGAAAAAAAGAAAUAAAAUAUAUAGCAUCAGUUUUUUUGUCACUUUCAGUUUCACUUCUUACGAGGCAAUCUAUGCAGGGGUUUUAGGACUGUUUGGGCUCAUUUUUAACAUGAUAACCCCCAAUUGGUUUCUUCCCGAGAAGAACAUGGUAAUGCAAUGCAAUAGGGGGGAAUACGGAGCAGUAUAUAUUUGUGCGCGCGUGGUAGUAGUAGUAGUAAUACUACUAUAACAUUAGCAAGCUGCAAAAUUUGCCCAAAUCCAGCUACACCACGUCUGAAAAUUAGGCAUUUUUUAUUUACAAGUAUCCGGAAAUUAACAACUCUUACGCUUCCACAGCUAGCUAAUCUUGGUCAAUGAUAGCGUAUACUUGUGUGAAAUAAGGUGGUGAUGUCUUUAUAAAAUUGUUGGUUUACACAUCUUGCAUGCAGCUAAUGAAUAAAAAAUGGGAAAGUUGUAGAUAUUUUGCUUCAGGUACAAAUAAAAAAUGCUAAACCUAUGCGAGUGACGAUUCCCUUUUGAUAGGUACAUACUAUCUUUAGACAUAAAUAGAGUAAAACAUUAAUUAUAUGUAUACAUUGCCUUGACAUUGAUGUAGUCAAGGUUGUCUCCUAUUUGUGUACUGCAUAAAGCUUUAGAGGCCUAUAAUAUUGAACCCCUAGAUCAUCUUUAAAGUUGUUUAAUCGUAGGACAUAAAAACACAAUAAUAAUAAUAUAGGGGAAUAUUAUUUUCACAAGUGUUUUUAAUAUUUCUACAGUGUUCUUUCUCACAUCACAUGAAGGUAUAACCCAUUGUAUGCUUAGGUGAGUGAAGACUGUGGAAAAUACAUGGGGAAAUAUCAGUUCGCAUAAUAUUAUGGUCAAUUCUAGAGUUGAUUGUAUAUACUUUUUGCCUAUUUGCCUAUUUGCCUAUUUGUCUACAGGAGUAUAAUAUAAGCUACAAGUUGAAAAUUAAUGUGAUAAGCUUCAUGUUUUACCCCUACGAGUAUUUAAUUAUGUAGGAGUUGGUAUUUGCUGACUAAAGAAGCUGCAUUUGUAAGUUUUAAUAUUGAUCCAGGAAGAUAUUUAAUACAUUUUCUUCAUUGCUCAAGUCCAGGUUAUAGCUAUUAGCAACUUGAUGUUGGUCCAUGUAAAUGGCUGGCUGGCUAAAAUUAUCAUUAGUACUUGGUCUGUCAUGGAAGUCUGCUUCUUUACAAGUCUGAGGUUCUUAAUAAUACUUAAUAUUGCAAUCAAUACUCAAUAUUCGGGAUAAAUAACGUUUUGGUCAUUGUACUGGGGUUCGGUUUUCAUUGUGGUUACCGAAACUUUUUUUAUUACAAUCGAAUAACUGUACUUUCAAAAACUUACAAAAUGGUCAUUCCGUCCGAUUUUUCAUCCAAAAAAUGUUAGGAAUGCUGACUGUGCAAGUUGACUUGACUUUUUUGCUUACGUGAAGCUCAGAAAAUACAAGCAGGCGGAUUAUUAUAACACAAAUGACCAAAAUUAUUAACUACUUCAC
RNAcentral lists this long non-coding RNA (1550 nucleotides) under Panax ginseng (ginseng). RNAcentral describes it as "long non-coding RNA (PGIN_LNC017519)". The record is from RNAcentral. Lineage: Eukaryota; Viridiplantae; Streptophyta; Magnoliopsida; Apiales; Araliaceae.